Capsicum annuum is the source of this 107-nucleotide non-coding RNA. NCBI's taxonomy places the organism in Eukaryota, Viridiplantae, Streptophyta, Magnoliopsida, Solanales, Solanaceae. The record is from Rfam.
UGAUGGUGGUGAGGGCAAUUUAUAAGCAUACCUCUAAAUCUUUCCUAAGUUUGGUAAAGAAUUUCUCUUUUUUUCUGCCUGAAACUUAGAAUAUCGCUUCUCAAAUA